This is a long non-coding RNA of Hyla sarda, 347 nucleotides long. RefSeq lists it as uncharacterized. The transcript has 3 exons. Lineage: Eukaryota; Metazoa; Chordata; Amphibia; Anura; Hylidae. The record is from RefSeq and is a predicted model, not a curated record.
UCGCACCUAUCGUUCAAUGUCAUAUUGCUCAUGUCACCGUGCGAAUCUCAUAGACGGUAAUCUGCAGGCAUCUGCUAUGUGAUAUCAGAGGAUGGAGGAAGUGCUCACCGCGGCCAUCGGUUUAAUAAAUCAUAUCGAAUGUAGGACAGUCCCCCGACCAUGCUGGGUAUCAUCUUCUGGGUGCAGAGUUUACUGCAGUCGCAGGUGUCGGAGUUCUUCCAGAAUAGACUGUGCUGGGAGCCUUUUCUCAGCCCCGGCCAUGACUGCCGCCCUGGAAGCUACCACCAAUGGAAUCAUCUUCAAAUUCUGAGGAGGAACCUAGACUUCGUGCUUCUCCAGGACCCUUU